This 1280-nucleotide ribosomal RNA is filed under the name uncultured bacterium. Its description in RNAcentral is "bacterial SSU rRNA". It matches the Rfam family "Bacterial small subunit ribosomal RNA", at positions 94 to 1399 of the family's 1533-position model. The record is from RNAcentral.
AGCGGCGGACGGGUGAGUAACGCGUGGGUAACCUGCCCUGUACACACGGAUAACAUACCGAAAGGUAUGCUAAUACGGGAUAACAUAAGAAAUUCGCAUGUUUUUCUUAUCAAAGCUCCGGCGGUACAGGAUGGACCCGCGUCUGAUUAGCUAGUUGGUGAGGUAACGGCUCACCAAGGCGACGAUCAGUAGCCGACCUGAGAGGGUGAUCGGCCACAUUGGAACUGAGACACGGUCCAAACUCCUACGGGAGGCAGCAGUGGGGAAUAUUGCACAAUGGGCGAAAGCCUGAUGCAGCAACGCCGCGUGAGCGAUGAAGGCCUUCGGGUCGUAAAGCUCUGUCCUCAAGGAAGAUAAUGACGGUACUUGAGGAGGAAGCCCCGGCUAACUACGUGCCAGCAGCCGCGGUAAUACGUAGGGGGCUAGCGUUAUCCGGAUUUACUGGGUGUAAAGGGAGCGCAGGCGGACCGGCAAGUUGGAAGUGAAAACUAUGGGCUCAACCCAUAAAUUGCUUUCAAAACUGCUGGCCUUGAGUAGUGCAGAGGUAGGUGGAAUUCCCGGUGUAGCGGUGGAAUGCGUAGAUAUCGGGAGGAACACCAGUGGCGAAGGCGACCUACUGGGCACCAACUGACGCUGAGGCUCGAAAGCAUGGGUAGCAAACAGGAUUAGAUACCCUGGUAGUCCAUGCCGUAAACGAUGAUUACUAGGUGUUGGAGGAUUGACCCCUUCAGUGCCGCAGUUAACACAAUAAGUAAUCCACCUGGGGAGUACGACCGCAAGGUUGAAACUCAAAGGAAUUGACGGGGGCCCGCACAAGCAGUGGAGUAUGUGGUUUAAUUCGAAGCAACGCGAAGAACCUUACCAGGUCUUGACAUCCGAUGCAUAGUGCAGAGAUGCAUGAGGUCCUUCGGGACAUCGAGACAGGUGGUGCAUGGUUGUCGUCAGCUCGUGUCGUGAGAUGUUGGGUUAAGUCCCGCAACGAGCGCAACCCUUAUUGCCAGUUACUACGCAAGAGGACUCUGGCGAGACUGCCGUUGACAAAACGGAGGAAGGUGGGGAUGACGUCAAAUCAUCAUGCCCUUUAUGACCUGGGCUACACACGUACUACAAUGGCGUUUAACAAAGAGAAGCAAGACCGCGAGGUGGAGCAAAACUCAAAAACAACGUCUCAGUUCAGAUUGCAGGCUGCAACUCGCCUGCAUGAAGUCGGAAUUGCUAGUAAUCGCGGAUCAGCAUGCCGCGGUGAAUACGUUCCCGGGCCUUGCACUCACCGCCCGUCA